CCAGCGACAUUACGUUCAACGGCCGCGGUAUCCUAACCGUGCGAAGGUAGCGCAAUCAAUUGUCCCAUAAAUCGGGACCUGUAUGAAUGGCCAAACGAGGUCUUAACUGUCUCCUCCAGGCAAUCAGUGAAAUUGAUCUCCCUGUGAAAAAGCAGGAAUAACCACAUAAGACAAGAAGACCCUGUGGAACUUCAAAAUCAGCAGUCACUUCCACAUUAUCCCCUCCACCCCGGAUACUACUUUCUACCGAACAACAUUGACCUGCAUUUUUCGGUUGGGGCGACCUCGGAGAAAAAUAAAUCCUCCAAGUAAAAGACUACCACUCUUAACCAAGAACAACCAAUCAACGUACCAACAGUGACCAGACCCAAUAAAAUUGAUUAACGAACCAAGCUACCCCAGGGAUAACAGCGCAAUCCCCUUCAAGAGCCCCCAUCGACAAGGGGGUUUACGACCUCGAUGUUGGAUCAGGACAUCCUAGUG
RNAcentral lists this ribosomal RNA (483 nucleotides) under Hylopezus nattereri. RNAcentral describes it as "partial 16S ribosomal RNA". It matches the Rfam family "Bacterial large subunit ribosomal RNA", at positions 1909 to 2552 of the family's 2925-position model. Lineage: Eukaryota; Metazoa; Chordata; Aves; Passeriformes; Formicariidae. The record is from RNAcentral.